Molecule: small RNA, 409 nt
Filed under: uncultured bacterium
Lineage: Bacteria
Description: bacterial SSU rRNA
Rfam family: Bacterial small subunit ribosomal RNA
Source: RNAcentral
GCCGGGGACUCAUAGGAGACUGCCGGGGACAACUCGGAGGAAGGCGGGGACGACGUCAAGUCAUCAUGCCCCUUAUGUUCAGGGCUGCACGCAUGCUACAAUGGGCGGUACAACGGGCUGCGAUCCCGCGAGGGUGAGCGAACCCUCAAAACCGUCCUCAGUUCGGAUUGGAGUCUGCAACUCGACUCCAUGAAGCCGGAGUCGCUAGUAAUCGCGAAUCAGCAAUGUCGCGGUGAAUACGUUCUCGGGGCUUGUACACACCGCCCGUCACAUCACGGAAGUCGGUAACGCCCGAAGUCAGUGGCCUAACCUUUUUGGAGGGAGCUGCCGAAGGUGGGAUCGGCGACUGGGAUGAAGUCGUAACAAGGUAGCCGUACGGGAACGUGCGGCUGGAUCACCUCCUUUCUAA